Cyprinus carpio carpio is the source of this 540-nucleotide long non-coding RNA. The record is from Ensembl. NCBI's taxonomy places the organism in Eukaryota, Metazoa, Chordata, Actinopteri, Cypriniformes, Cyprinidae.
AAUCUGAAUAUUCAUGGCAUCAGUGACUCCACGAUUUCCAGGACGAGUCUUUGGUCAGGCGGGGUUUUGACCCUAAAUUCACCAAGAGUGUGUGGAGUGCAGUGGGUGAGUCUUUGUCCUUUGCUGUGAGUGUAUACACUUGAAAAUUGCAGUGUUCUGCUGUGUUGUGUCGUCAACAACCACCUUUCAGGCCCGACGAAAUCCUGCGAAGGAAGUGAGUACUGAGGCGGGCGAUGACAUCCUGACCCUUCUUCCCCACGUGACGGUGGUGGGAAACAAUUUCAAAAGGAAGAGGGAAGCGUUCGACCCAUCCAGUGUAGUACACUCCGGGUGAAACAACUUGCCUGUGUGUGACGCCAGCGGAGGCCGUGUUCGGCCCAACGCAACAGUAGUUUUCGAUCCGCCUCUCUAUCAGCAGUUGGUAGAAGCCUCAGAAAAGGAACGCCUGACGUCUAUUCCCUCGAAGAUCUAGCGGGUCCCUGUGAAGCGUCUACCUGCAUGUUGACCCGUCACUCAGGAUACAGAAACCGCGGAAACCCC